This 467-nucleotide ribosomal RNA is filed under the name uncultured bacterium. RNAcentral's name for it is "partial 16S ribosomal RNA". It matches the Rfam family "Bacterial small subunit ribosomal RNA", at positions 28 to 507 of the family's 1533-position model. The record is from RNAcentral.
GACGAACGCUGGCGGCGUGCUUAACACAUGCAAGUCGAACGGAAAGGCCUCUUUCGGGGGGUACUCGAGUGGCGAACGGGUGAGUAACACGUGAGUAACCUGCCCUUGACUUUGGGAUAACUUCAGGAAACUGGGGCUAAUACCGGAUAGGAGCUCCUGCUGCAUGGUGGGGGUUGGAAAGUUUCGGCGGUUGGGGGUGGACUCGCGGCUUAUCAGCUUGUUGGUGGGGUAGUGGCUUACCAAGGCUUUGACGGGUAGCCGGCCUGGGAGGGUGACCGGCCACACUGGGACUGAGAUACGGCCCAGACUCCUACGGGAGGCAGAAGGGGGGAAGAUUGCACAAUGGGUGGAAGCCUGAUGCAGCAACGCCGUGUGCGGGAUGACGGCCUUCGGGUUGUAAACCGCUUUCGCUCAUGACGAAGCUUUGUGUGACGGUAGUGGGUAAAGAAGCACCGGCUAACUACGUG